AGGUUAUCAAGAAAGGCAAGAGGGAUUAGACCCAAUGAGAGCCUUAGCAACCCUUUAGUCUUGUAAAGAAGGUGCUAAAUUCUACCGGAAGGAGAGAUAACAA
RNAcentral lists this non-coding RNA (103 nucleotides) under Flavobacteriaceae bacterium UJ101. RNAcentral's name for it is "SAM riboswitch aptamer (S box leader)". It matches the Rfam family "SAM riboswitch aptamer (S box leader)". Rfam says of the family: The SAM riboswitch is found upstream of a number of genes which code for proteins involved in methionine or cysteine biosynthesis in Gram-positive bacteria. The SAM riboswitch acts at the level of transcription termination control. The predicted structure consists of a complex stem-loop region followed by a single stem loop terminator region. RNAcentral also lists the same sequence under 1 other name. Lineage: Bacteria; Pseudomonadati; Bacteroidota; Flavobacteriia; Flavobacteriales; Flavobacteriaceae. The record is from Rfam by way of RNAcentral.